This 1687-nucleotide long non-coding RNA is filed under the name Marmota monax (woodchuck). Lineage: Eukaryota; Metazoa; Chordata; Mammalia; Rodentia; Sciuridae. The record is from RNAcentral.
CAGAAGGCCACUUGUGGACUAGGAACAUCCACAUUGUACAUAAUGUGAGGAGAAGUUGAUGAGUAACCUUUGAAUCUAGAACUGGUAGGGCUCUUGAAGUCAAUUUCCAACUCCUUAUCUUUAAACAGAUUUACUCCUAAGUCAUUGCUCAUGAGUAAAAUUGAAUCCAAAGCUUCAGAGGGAAUUAUACAGAUCAGGAUAACCCACAGGGAUAUGGUUAAUACUUAGCCUGGUCCAGAGAUGUCUUGGGAGGCUUCCUGAUAGAGGAAACACAAGUCCUGAGUCUUAAGAACCGGUAGAAGAGUGGGAGACAGAGAAUGACCCUCUUGCUUUUGUAAUCAUUUUCUUUUACUACUUUUAUGGUCUUAUACUUCAGUUGCAGUUACCUUGUGCCCAUGAAGGAUUUUCAUCCAUCUCUCUUUACAAUAAUUCACAGUAGAUUCAAAGUUUGACUUGCUCUUUGUCUUUCCUCUUUUUGUGCUAAAUAUUUUCUAAUUCAUUUAUAUGUUACUCAGGUGCAUCUUCCUUUUUAUGCUAAUAAUAUUUGUUUACACAUAUGCAUAUCUUAAAUUCUGCUUUGUUGAAGUAAAGUGUGUCAGGCAGUACCUCCCCCCAUUCCUGUCACCACAUCUGUCAGAAAAGCUUCAGCAUCACACUUAUCAGAGUGGCAGUUCUGAGCAGCUAAACUUGCUUCUCUUAAUCUGCUCUGGGCAGAGCAAACUUAGCCUCUUUUCCAGUGUCUUUUCUCAUCUCAAUCUAUGUUGUGAUUACACAAAUUGAAAAAAUGGCCUUCUUUUAAAAAUUGUGGUCAAAGGGGGUUAAUCUUCUAAUUGUUUUCCAGCCCAAAUCAGGAAAUCCAAAUCUUUAUAGAUCAGGAUUCAUUAUUUCCUUGAUCUAAAUAUUGGAUUUAACAUUUAAAAACCAGCACCAAGUGGAUCAGCCUUCAUGGUGUCAGAUGGAAUUUCUAGGUCUUGAAAUUUUGCAUUCAUGGUCUCACUUUUUCACUAGUUAUAGACUUAAAAACUUAUGUAUUGUUUUAAGUUCAAAAGACAUGAAUUUCUUUUGUAUCCAGAUAGUCAAAUGUUUCCAUUGUAUCCCCACCAUUUCUUGAAUAUUCCCUCUAUAUGUGAUUCUCUGCACGUGUCUUUGUGACCUAGACUCUUGACCCCUGACAACUGUACUGAAUGCUGUUCACCUCUGCUUUCUUAUUGUGAAUACAGGACCUGUUUCAUAAUAGCAUCUCCUUAAAUAUAUUUUUGUUCAUUUGUCUGUUUCAUGAAUUUCUUUUUGUUUUUGGUUUAGGCAGGGCUGGCCUCAAACUCUUGGGCUUAUGUGAUCUUCCUACCUCAGCCUCCUGAAUAGCUGGGACUACACGUGUGUGCCAUUGCACCAGCUAGAUUUUUUUUUAAAUUAAUAAGGCAGUGAAUAAAGUCUUAGAGAAUGUGAAAUAGAGCCUGUUGCAGUGUGCUGUUCCAUAGAGUUCCAAAUCUUGAUUGUGGCCAAGAUAUCUUAUUUAUGAACAUCUAUCUUAUGUGUCUUUCUAUCUCCUUCAACUUCAGAGUCUCUCCCAUCUUCCUCUACAGAAGCUGAGAUGUGACUGUGGGGUGGAGCUUUCAGUGCAUUUUGGAAUUUCAACUCAAUAUGGAGAGUCUUAAAAAAUGCUUGCAGGUUUAGAAGCCACGCAUGU